AAUCUUCGACAAUGGACGAAAGUCUGAUGGAGCAACGCCGCGUGAGUGAAGAAGGUUUNAGGAACNUNAAACUCCGUUGUAAGGGNCAAACAAGUACAGUAGUAAGUGGCUGUACCUUGACGGUACCUUAUUAGAAAGCCACGGCUACUGACGUGCCAGCAGCCGCGGUAAUAAGUAGGUGGCAAGCGUUGUCCGGAAUUAUUGGGCCUAAAGCGCGCGCAGGCGGUCCUUUAAGUCUGAUGUGAAAGCCCUCGGCUCAACCGUGGAGGGUCAUUGGAAACUGGAGGACUUGAGUGCAGAAGAGGAAAGUGGAAUUCCAAGUGUAGCGGUGAAAUGCGUAGAGAUUUGGAGGAACACCAGUGGCGAAGGCGACUUUCUGGUCUGUAACUGACGCUGAGGCGCGAAAGCGUGGGGAGCAAACAGG
RNAcentral lists this ribosomal RNA (424 nucleotides) under uncultured bacterium. Its description in RNAcentral is "partial 16S ribosomal RNA". It matches the Rfam family "Bacterial small subunit ribosomal RNA", at positions 360 to 776 of the family's 1533-position model. The record is from RNAcentral.